CCCUGGCUGGCUCAGUCGGUAGAGCAUGAGACUCUUGAUCUCCCGGCUGUGAGUUAGAGCCCCACGUUGAGCA
This 73-nucleotide transfer RNA is filed under the name Felis catus (domestic cat). It matches the Rfam family "tRNA". From Rfam's summary of the family: Transfer RNA (tRNA) molecules are approximately 80 nucleotides in length. Their secondary structure includes four short double-helical elements and three loops (D, anti-codon, and T loops). Further hydrogen bonds mediate the characteristic L-shaped molecular structure. tRNAs have two regions of fundamental functional importance: the anti-codon, which is responsible for specific mRNA codon recognition, and the 3' end, to which the tRNAs corresponding amino acid is attached (by aminoacyl-tRNA synthetases). tRNAs cope with the degeneracy of the genetic code in two manners: having more than one tRNA (with a specific anti-codon) for a particular amino acid; and 'wobble' base-pairing, i.e. permitting non-standard base-pairing at the 3rd anti-codon position. Lineage: Eukaryota; Metazoa; Chordata; Mammalia; Carnivora; Felidae. The record is from Rfam by way of RNAcentral.